UUCUGUUCACAGUUCUGGCAGUGGUUAUUUUGAAGAGUAGCAAAACAGUCCCUGAUGCUGCCCUUCCGGCCUGGAAUUGGCAUUCUCUCUUUAUAAGCAUGACAUUUAAGGCCACACAAAACAGAAAUGCUCUGUGUGCUUUGCUCAUGCUGCUUAAUGCUUUCUCUUCCCCAGGGCCAAGAUGAGCUGCAGCCACCACAAAGGCCACCUCGCCUGGGGAGUUUUGUACUACUUGCAGUGAUUUACAACCUCAAACACAACCACAAGCCUCUGUUUGUAUCUUCUCUAUGGGCUGUAAGUGCUUUCUGGAAAUAGCUUUAAAUGCAUCAUCACUGUGAGCAUUCUUAUUGCUCCAGGCCAGCGGGAUGGAGCAUCAUUGGAAGUUCAGGCUUGUCAGUUUAAGAGCUUGAUUUGAAAAGUCACCAGAAAAAUAAAGAGGUUUGUUGCACUGGUGCUUCAUACACCACUGGACAGUCUUUGUUUUCCACUUGAGGUUCUCAUGAGCGCUGAUAGUUCAACCUUCUAAAUCCAGCCCACCAGAUCACAAAAGCUAUUCAAUGGAUAUUUAUUCUUCCCUUUGUGAGAGCUUGAUCUCCAAACUGCCACAAGCAGUUUCUUAAUUUAUCUGUGAAAACACCAAAGUCCCAGGACAGUUUCAAAUGGAGACUAAUUCUGUUUAGAGAAGAUGUGGCUGACAGCUUAGUCUGCCUGUGCAACCUAAGCAUUGCAAUGCCCACAUAGCCUAUGAGAAGACUUGUCAAAUAGUGUUAGAUUAAAUGAAAUUAAUUAAUUGAAGAACUUUUCUGAUUUGCAAAUCAGUCACCAAAUAUCAGGGGUCUGCUUAAAAGUUUUUCACAGUUCCCUGAUGAUUGUUUGGGUUAUUUUGAAAGUAUUAAUAGCUCCUUCUAAGUGGUGGUGUACAUUGUUAUAGAGUGACAAGUGGGAAGAUGGGGGCAAAAAACCAUUAUCAUUAUCGUCAUCAAAUGCUUUUCAGAUCAGCAGAUCAGUAACAUACCCAUGGAUCAGGCUAUUAUCAGUCUGUAUUUUCUGCCUGCUAGCAACUUCUUUUUUUUUUUUUUUUGACUUCUUUUGAAUUUUAUCAGAAUGAAAAUGUUAUUUUCAGUACUUCAUGAAAUGAAAUGUCAAAAUGUGCACCUUUCAUUUUCAAGUGAAGGUAACCUUAAUACAGCUGUAUGUGUGUGUUUAUUCCUUCAGACCAAACAGCUAUGAUUGCUGAUGCAUGUGGUAGUUUAACCCUCGAGUGUAAAACUAGCUUAACUUAGCAGUUAGAGGCUGCUGUAACUUGGGGCUGUUAGUUACAGCAUCUUCCUUGCAUACACAGUUAUUUCUGCUCACUUUGUGUCAGAGAGAGGUGCAAUGGGCAGGUAACACAGAAACUGGGCUGGUUUUGGGUGCAGAGCCAGCUCAGCCACCUCCUCACUGCUGGAAAAAAGCAUAAAUCACCUCAAAGACACGCUACUUUGUAAUGUGUUAUUGAGCAGCAUUCCUUGCAAUUCAGAAAGCUUCAUCUCCUCUAAAACUCACUAGUAUAGAUUAGUUGGAUCUUAGAGUAAAGCCUUAAUAGCUGCCAGUUAGUAUUUUUCCUACUGGGGAGAUUGAAAAUGAUUCUUCAUUAGAUUUCAGAAAUGCUUUUUGAAAACUUUCCCUUUUCUUGCCUUUCUGCUGGCAUAUCUUGUGUUUCUGCCUUUGAAUUUACAGGUAUUCCCUAUGUCAUUCCACCUGCUGCAUGAAUUCCCUACAGCUACGAGCUUAUGGUUGGUAUUGAGAUGGGCUUCCGUUCUAUUUCUAUUUCUCUUCUGUUUCUUUUUCCAGACUGACUUUCUUUCUGCAAAAUGGACUUGUGCUGUUGGAUACCUAAUCCCCUGUUUGUAAGCAAGUCUUAAUUAUCUACUUCUUUCCUGUUUGCUUUUUGAAAUAAGUAUAAUAAAACCAGUAACCUCUCCAGUACGUGUCUGGACUUCAGUACAUGAUGCUCAUGAGCGUUUUGUCAUCUACACAAGGGUCACCCAGGUGUGUGUCGGGUAUCACCCAGCUCCCCAUCUGGCACGCACCGAGUCAGAUUGUCGAUCCAUGGAUUUCCAGCCUGCUUAGCUAUGAAAGAGCAGAGAUGUGCAAACAGCUGCAACAAUAAUUGAUAUCGCAGGAUGAACAGGACAGGCAACUUGAAAGGGGAAUAAAUGGAAUGUGGCUGAAGAUGCUUCUUUCUGGUCACUUGGGUCAGAACUGGUUGGCAUUCCAAACAUCCAGGCAGAAGCAACACAAGUUCAAUCACAAGAAGACCCAUGAACCAGUGAGUUCAGUUCAAAUAUUCAGACUGUACCUCUAAUAUUUCAGAUUCACAGAAGAAAAUGAAUUAGUGUUCUCCUCUUCAUCAGUGAGUAUCCACAGUAAUUGUAUCCAAGUCAAUAAUCUUAGUUCUCUUUCUCUUUUAUGUCACAGAAAGUGUAAGGCUUUCCCAUUUGAAUGAGGUCCUUUCUGCAGCUUGGAUCAAGAGCAGUCAGUCAGCACCCACUGCAGGGGAGCUGUCACUGGUUUAAACUGGUGACACAAAGGGCUGAAUUCAGUUUCUUAUUGAUGUCAGAUAUUCAGAUGUGCUGCAAGUUGUCUGUCUCCUUCAAAACAGUUGCCUAUCUAUCUCCUUCUUGUCGUUGUCAGAAAGGGUUGCUUACAGAGCACGAACUUCACAAGAUAAAUAAACUCUGCCAG
This is a long non-coding RNA of Pezoporus occidentalis (night parrot), 2727 nucleotides long. RefSeq lists it as uncharacterized. The record is from RefSeq and is a predicted model, not a curated record. NCBI's taxonomy places the organism in Eukaryota, Metazoa, Chordata, Aves, Psittaciformes, Psittacidae. The transcript has 3 exons.